AGCGCACACGGUGGAUGCCUUGGCGGUCAGAGGCGAUGAAGGACGUGGCAGCCUGCGAAAAGUAUCGGGGAGCUGGCAACAAGCUUUGAUCCGGUAAUGUCCGAAUGGGGAAACCCACCCGCUUGCGGGUAUCCUGCAGUGAAUACAUAGCUGCUGGAAGCGAACCUGGUGAACUGAAAUAUCUAAGUAACCAGAGGAAAAGAAAUCAACCGAGAUUCCGUAAGUAGCGACGAGCGAACGCGGACUAGCCCUUAAGCUGAUUUGGUUCUAGGAAAACGCUCUGGAAAGAGCGGCCAUAGAAGGUGAUAGCCCUGUAUCUGAAAGGGCCAUUUCAGUGAAGACGAGUAGGGCGGGGCACGUGAAACCCUGUCUGAACAUGGGGGGACCAUCCUCCAAGGCUAAAUACUACUGACCGACCGAUAGUGAACCAGUACCGUGAGGGAAAGGCGAAAAGAACCCCGGAGAGGGGAGUGAAAUAGAACCUGAAACCGUGUGCGUACAAGCAGUAGGAGCUCCGCAAGGAGUGACUGCGUACCUUUUGUAUAAUGGGUCAGCGACUUACUGUUCGUGGCAAGCUUAACCGUAUAGGGGAGGCGAAGGGAAACCGAGUCUGAUAAGGGCGCAUAGUCGCGGGCAGUAGACCCGAAACCGGGUGAUCUAGUCAUGCCCAGGGUGAAGGUGCGGUAACACGCACUGGAGGCCCGAACCCACUCCCGUUGCAAAGGUAGGGGAUGAGGUGUGAUUAGGAGUGAAAAGCUAAUCGAACCCGGAGAUAGCUGGUUCUCCUCGAAAGCUAUUUAGGUAGCGCCUCAUAUGUAUCCUCUCGGGGGUAGAGCACUGUUAUGGCUAGGGGGUCAUCGCGACUUACCAAACCAUUGCAAACUCCGAAUACCGAGACGGACUGUAUGGGAGACACACGGCGGGUGCUAACGUCCGUCGUGAAAAGGGAAACAACCCAGACCCACAGCUAAGGUCCCAAAUUUUGUGCUAAGUGGAAAACCAUGUGGAAAGGCACAGACAGCCAGGAGGUUGGCUUAGAAGCAGCCACCCUUUAAAGAAAGCGUAAUAGCUCACUGGUCGAGUCGGUCUGCGGGGAAGAUUUAACGGGGCUAAGCACAGAACCGAAGCUUGGGGUGCAUACUUUGUAUGCGCGGUAGAGGAGCGUUCCGUAAGCCGUUGAAGGUGGAUUGAGAAGUCUGCUGGAGGUAUCGGAAGUGCGAAUGCUGACAUGAGUAACGAUAAUGCGGGUGAAAAACCCGCACGCCGAAAGCCCAAGGUUUCCUUGCGCAACGUUAAUCGGCGCAGGGUGAGUCGGCCCCUAAGGCGAGGACGAAAGUCGUAGUCGAUGGGAAGCAGGUUAAUAUUCCUGCACCUCGCGUAAGUGCGAUGGAGGGACGGAGAAGGUUAGGUGUACCAGGCGUUGGUUGUCCUGGGGAAAGGCGGUAGGUUUGGAUCUUUGGCAAAUCCGGGAUCCUUUAAGACCGAGCACCGAGACGAGCCUUUAAGGCGAAGUCACUGAUACCACGCUUCCAGGAAAAGCUCCUAAGCUUCAGCUUACGCAGACCGUACCGUAAACCGACACAGGUGGGUAGGAUGAGAAUUCUCAGGCGCUUGAGAGAACUCGGGUGAAGGAACUAGGCAACAUGGCACCGUAACUUCGGGAGAAGGUGCACCCUUUUUGGUGGCUCGUGCGAGCUAUAGCUGAAGAGGGUCGCAGUAACCAGGCCGCUGCGACUGUUUAUCAAAAACACAGCACUCUGCAAACACGAAAGUGGACGUAUAGGGUGUGACGCCUGCCCGGUGCUGGAAGGUUAAUUGAUGGGGUCAGCCGCAAGGCGAAGCUCUUGAUCGAAGCCCCAGUAAACGGCGGCCGUAACUAUAACGGUCCUAAGGUAGCGAAAUUCCUUGUCGGGUAAGUUCCGACCUGCACGAAUGGCGUAACGACAGCGGCGCUGUCUCCACCCGAGACUCAGUGAAAUUGAAAUCGCUGUGAAGAUGCAGCGUUCCCGUGGCAAGACGGAAAGACCCCGUGAACCUUUACUAUAGCUUUACACUGAACGUUGAGUUCGUCUGUGUAGGAUAGGUGGGAGGCUAUGAAACCAUGGCGCUAGCUGUGGCGGAGCCAUCCUUGAAAUACCACCCUGUCGUGCUUGACGUUCUAACCUGGGCCCAUUAUCUGGGUCGGGGACCGUGUAUGGUGGGUAGUUUGACUGGGGCGGUCUCCUCCUAAAGAGUAACGGAGGAGCUCGAAGGUACGCUCAGCGCGGUCGGACAUCGCGCACUGUGUGCAAAGGCAUAAGCGUGCUUGACUGCAAGAUCGACGGAUCAAGCAGGUAGGAAACUAGGACUUAGUGAUCCGGUGGUUCUGUAUGGAAGGGCCAUCGCUCAACGGAUAAAAGGUACUCCGGGGAUAACAGGCUGAUACCGCCCAAGAGUUCAUAUCGACGGCGGUGUUUGGCACCUCGAUGUCGGCUCAUCACAUCCUGGGGCUGUAGUCGGUCCCAAGGGUAUGGCUGUUCGCCAUUUAAAGUGGUACGCGAGCUGGGUUCAGAACGUCGUGAGACAGUUCGGUCCCUAUCUGCCAUGGGCGUUGGAGAUUUGAGAGGGGCUGCUCCUAGUACGAGAGGACCGGAGUGGACGAACCUCUGGUGUUCCGGUUGUCACGCCAGUGGCAUUGCCGGGUAGCUAUGUUCGGAAGCGAUAACCGCUGAAAGCAUCUAAGCGGGAAGCGCGCCUCAAGAUGAGAUCUCCCGGGGCACAAGCCCCCUGAAGGAACCAUGUAGACUACGUGGUUGA
RNAcentral lists this ribosomal RNA (2796 nucleotides) under Stenotrophomonas maltophilia. Its description in RNAcentral is "bacterial LSU rRNA". It matches the Rfam family "Bacterial large subunit ribosomal RNA". The record is from RNAcentral. Lineage: Bacteria; Pseudomonadati; Pseudomonadota; Gammaproteobacteria; Lysobacterales; Lysobacteraceae.